Molecule: transfer RNA, 73 nt
Filed under: Agrilus planipennis (emerald ash borer)
Lineage: Eukaryota; Metazoa; Arthropoda; Insecta; Coleoptera; Buprestidae
Rfam family: tRNA
About the family: Transfer RNA (tRNA) molecules are approximately 80 nucleotides in length. Their secondary structure includes four short double-helical elements and three loops (D, anti-codon, and T loops).
Source: Rfam by way of RNAcentral
CCUUUCGUAGCUUAGUCCUCAGAACAUUGGCCCGUAAAGCUAAAGGUUCCGGGUUCGUUUCCCGGCGAAUGUG